This 68-nucleotide transfer RNA is filed under the name Marmota monax (woodchuck). RNAcentral describes it as "tRNA.Ala". Lineage: Eukaryota; Metazoa; Chordata; Mammalia; Rodentia; Sciuridae. The record is from RNAcentral.
GGCUAUAGCUCAGUUGGUAGAGUGCUUGCCUUGCAUGCCCAAGGUCCUGGGUUUAAUUCUCAGUGCCA